This 336-nucleotide unclassified non-coding RNA is filed under the name soil metagenome. RNAcentral describes it as "partial contains 5.8S ribosomal RNA, internal transcribed spacer 2, and large subunit ribosomal RNA". The stretch from base 1 to 120 matches the Rfam family "5.8S ribosomal RNA", at positions 35 to 154 of the family's 154-position model. The record is from RNAcentral.
GAUGAAGAACGUAGCGAAAUGCGAUAAGUAGUGUGAAUUGCAGAAUUCAGUGAAUCUUCGAAUCUUUGAACGCACAUUGCGCCCCUUGGUAUUCCAUGGGGCAUGCCUGUUCGAGCGUCAUUUGUACCUUCAAGCUUUGCUUGGUGUUGGGUGUUUGUCUCGCCUUUGCGUGUAGACUCGCCUUAAAAUAAUUGGCAGCCGGCGUAUUGAUUUCGGAGCGCAGUACAUCUCGCGCUUUGCACUCAUAACGACAGCGUCCAAAAGUACAUUUUACACUCUUGACCUCGGAUCAGGUAGGGAUACCCGCUGAACUUAAGCAUAUCAAUAAGCGGAGGA